GCAUGUGGUUUAAUUCGAAGCAACGCGAAGAACCUUACCUGGACUUGACAUCCCUUGCAUAGCCUAGAGAUAGGUGAAGCCCUUCGGGGCAAGGAGACAGGUGGUGCAUGGUUGUCGUCAGCUCGUGUCGUGAGAUGUUAGGUUAAGUCCUGCAACGAGCGCAACCCUUGUUAUUAGUUGCUACCAUUAAGUUGAGCACUCUAAUGAGACUGCCUGGGUAACCAGGAGGAAGGUGGGGAUGACGUCAAAUCAUCAUGCCCCUUAUGUCCAGGGCUACACACGUGCUACAAUGGUAGGUACAAUAAGACGCAAGACCGUGAGGUGGAGCAAAACUUAUAAAACCUAUCUCAGUUCGGAUUGUAGGCUGCAACUCGCCUACAUGAAGCUGGAGUUGCUAGUAAUCGCGAAUCAGAAUGUCGCGGUGAAUACGUUCCCGGGCCUUGUACACACCGCCCGUCACACCAUGAGAGCUGGUAACACCCGAAGUCCGUGAGGUAACCGUAAGGAGCCAGCGG
This 515-nucleotide ribosomal RNA is filed under the name Clostridium botulinum. RNAcentral describes it as "bacterial SSU rRNA". It matches the Rfam family "Bacterial small subunit ribosomal RNA", at positions 937 to 1455 of the family's 1533-position model. The record is from RNAcentral. Lineage: Bacteria; Bacillati; Bacillota; Clostridia; Eubacteriales; Clostridiaceae.